CAGAGGCUUGUCUACCAAUGUCUGCAGCAGUAUAUUAGUGGUGAGGGCUGAGUUUAUAUGUAAUCAUGUAAUUGCAGCAUUGUGGGUGGAAGGGGUGGGGAGAGGUUUCCUAUGGAGGCAGAUCAUGUGUGGAACGAGCAGCUGCUGCCGAUUAUUUGGCAAGUCGUUCGACCUCAUAAAAAACUUGUAUAUAGCCACGCCAUUAAUCGUGAUUACGGACAAAAAUUGUCAAUGAAAAUUAUGUCGCUCCGCCUCUAUUUUCCAUUUCAUUGGGUUCUGGAACAAUUAUUUUAGGUGGAGGCUGUAUAAGAUAGUAGUGAAAAUUACAGGUUUAUUGGGUUUGAAUUAGGCUCAAAAAAUGUCCAAAGUUUUGCAGGUGCGAGCGUGGUUGGAGGAGACAUAUUCUGGAGUAAGUUCCUGCAUCCUUUCAUACCAUGUAGGUCUGGAUAGUCUUCAAAUAUUUCCUCCAGGCGUGCCAACUUCAGGAAGGCCGGUCAUGAACGAGGUGCGUUUGCGCAUGGAUGGACUUUUUGAGUCGCAAAAGCAGGCAUCCAAGUUCAUACAGGAGUUCGAAGCUCUCUACACCAAUGGUCCUGCAGGUGGCGGUGGAAUAAGGUCAGUCAGUCGUGAAUCAUGGCAUUGUAGGGAUUCUUCUGGAAUCCUUCUCUAUCACCAUCUAGUCACUGAAUUUGCUUAAAUAUGCAUAUGUCGAAUUUAGUGAUCGAUAAGAAAAUUGAAUCUACUAUAUUGAUUGACCUUUAUUGAGUGAUGGCAGAACGGGACUUAAUCACGAGAUACUCCUCCAUAAAUCCUUGGUAUGAACUGAGUUUUUCUCCACUAUUUUUCAUAUUCGGAUUGUGUGUCCUUCAGAUGUCCAAACCUUAUUUCAUUCUUUCUAAGAGCGAUAGAAGGUCUUGAUGCAAUAUGCUGAUUCCAGGAUUUGUGCAGAUCUCACGUGAGCAAGUGCAAUGGAAGACAUCUGCAUGCCAUACUGAUCCUCGCAGCUCUAAUUUGCCUUCUAGUUCGAAAACACCUUCUAAGCUUCCUGGUAGAAUUGUCUUUUUUUACAAUCAUCUUUCAUUGGGAUAUUUCGUUAACUGUUAACCACAAAAAAAUCAGGUUUACGAGCUCUUGUAAGAUGUUUAUGAGGUUUAGAAGUGAACUUCAGACCCAAAUGAUACUUUUGCAUUGUAGGUGUGAGCGCUACAGGGCGAAGUAGUUGCCCACACCAGCUGCAGGCAUCACCAGCGCCAUCAGCUGUAAAGCUACCGCUGUAUCAAGUAGCGCACGGCAGAACUGGCGACAAAGGCAACCAACU
This 1318-nucleotide long non-coding RNA is filed under the name Physcomitrium patens. RNAcentral describes it as "long non-coding RNA (PPAT_LNC005668)". The record is from RNAcentral. Lineage: Eukaryota; Viridiplantae; Streptophyta; Bryopsida; Funariales; Funariaceae.